Molecule: long non-coding RNA, 696 nt
Organism: Populus nigra (black poplar)
Lineage: Eukaryota; Viridiplantae; Streptophyta; Magnoliopsida; Malpighiales; Salicaceae
Exons: 2
Source: RefSeq, a predicted model, not a curated record
GGGUGUGGUUGUGUGAUUAAACAAUAUUUCCGAAACCAAAAACCAAUUCGGUGCAUCUUUUUUGUUUCAGAGGAUGCGAGGCAACCCACAAAUAUCGAACCCUAUUGUUGUUAUAGAGACUUGUUAUCCUAUCCCUGACGUGUGAGCUCUUAUCUCCAUUUACUAUAUAUCACAUGGCUCUUGUAUCUCCCAACUGUUUCUCAUAUAAAAAGCCAAAGUUACCACUCAGAAACAACGCAUCUCUCGCAGCCAGAGCUCUCUCUCUCUCUCUCUCACAAAAUGGAGAACCAGACAGAACAAGUGACUUUUGACAUGGAUGCACUCAGGGCCAAUCUUCCGCAAAAGAGGGGGGGGUUGUCAAGGUAUUACUCCGGGAAAGCAAGGUCAUUUACAUGCAUAGCUGAUGUUCGUUGUCUUGAAGAUCUAAAGAAACCAGAACGCCCUGAUCCCAAGAAAAGGCAGAAAUAUUCAGAUGGGAAUGGCUCGCACGUUCCUCCAUAUCCAUGUCGACGAGUAUCUAGCUCCACCCAGUGCAUCUCACCCUGUGUUGGCGUGUGAAAACAGCCAAAUAAGCUUUUUGGCUUCCUUCUGCGCUUUUCUUUUAUUAUUAUUUUGACGCUUUGCCGCACUGUGUACAGGAGGAAAUCUUCACAAGCAUUUGUAAAUGAUAAUAAAAUUUUGUAGUUCAUAUCUAAA